RNAcentral lists this ribosomal RNA (498 nucleotides) under uncultured bacterium. Its description in RNAcentral is "partial 16S ribosomal RNA". It matches the Rfam family "Bacterial small subunit ribosomal RNA", at positions 30 to 523 of the family's 1533-position model. The record is from RNAcentral.
AUUGAACGCUGGCGGCAUGCUUUACACAUGCAAGUCGAACGGUAACAGGCCGCAAGGUGCUGACGAGUGGCGAACGGGUGAGUAAUGCAUCGGAACGUGCCCAGUCGUGGGGGAUAACGCAGCGAAAGCUGUGCUAAUGCCGCAUACGAUCUAUGGAUGAAAGCGGGGGACCGUAAGGCCUCGCGCGAUUGGAGCGGCCGAUGUCAGAUUAGGUAGUUGGUGGGGUAAAGGCUCACCAAGCCAACGAUCUGUAGCUGGUCUGAGAGGACGACCAGCCACACUGGGACUGAGACACGGCCCAGACUCCUACGGGAGGCAGCAGUGGGGAAUUUUGGACAAUGGGCGCAAGCCUGAUCCAGCAAUGCCGCGUGCAGGAAGAAGGCCUUCGGGUUGUAAACUGCUUUUGUACGGAACGAAAAGGUUUGGGUUAAUACCCUGGGCCGAUGACGGUACCGUAAGAAUAAGCACCGGCUAACUACGUGCCAGCCGCCGCCGUAA